ACACCAGCCGAGUUAAAAACUAGCUUCAAUCUCCUCCCUAUGCAUUAAUCCGACGCUGUCUGCUUGUAUGCUCUACAUUCCAAGAUAUCAUUUCCUAGUGAUAGCCAAACUUCCGGGGAUAGUUAUCUUUAAGCUUCGCCUCUGCGGAUUUUCUAGCGCUGGGCAACCUCCGAGCCAAUCAGAAUGCAGGAUUUGCGGAGUGGAAUGCCUCGGCAUCGAACUGCCAAAUCAUGUGAGGGCCCCAUAUGGAUGGAUAAAAACAUCUACUCUGGACACAGAUGAAGAAUCGCC
Molecule: small RNA, 291 nt
Filed under: Histoplasma capsulatum var. duboisii H88
Lineage: Eukaryota; Fungi; Ascomycota; Eurotiomycetes; Onygenales; Ajellomycetaceae
Description: Histoplasma capsulatum H88 hypothetical RNA
Source: RNAcentral